CCAAGCUUGCUUGGUGGAUCAGUGGCGAACGGGUGAGUAACACGUGAGCAACCUGCCCUGGACUCUGGGAUAAGCGCUGGAAACGGCGUCUAAUACUGGAUAUGAGCCCCUAUCGCAUGGUGGGGGUUGGAAAGAUUUUUUGGUCUGGGAUGGGCUCGCGGCCUAUCAGCUUGUUGGUGAGGUAAUGGCUCACCAAGGCGUCGACGGGUAGCCGGCCUGAGAGGGUGACCGGCCACACUGGGACUGAGACACGGCCCAGACUCCUACGGGAGGCAGCAGUGGGGAAUAUUGCACAAUGGGCGAAAGCCUGAUGCAGCAACGCCGCGUGAGGGAUGACGGCCUUCGGGUUGUAAACCUCUUUUAGCAGGGAAGAAGCGAAAGUGACGGUACCUGCAGAAAAAGCGCCGGCUAACUACGUGCCAGCAGCCGCGGUAAUACGUAGGGCGCAAGCGUUAUCCGGAAUUAUUGGGCGUAAAGAGCUCGUAGGCGGUUUGUCGCGUCUGCUGUGAAAUCCCGAGGCUCAACCUCGGGCCUGCAGUGGGUACGGGCAGACUAGAGUGCGGUAGGGGAGAUUGGAAUUCCUGGUGUAGCGGUGGAAUGCGCAGAUAUCAGGAGGAACACCGAUGGCGAAGGCAGAUCUCUGGGCCGUAACUGACGCUGAGGAGCGAAAGGGUGGGGAGCAAACAGGCUUAGAUACCCUGGUAGUCCACCCCGUAAACGUUGGGAACUAGUUGUGG
This 737-nucleotide ribosomal RNA is filed under the name Microbacterium aurantiacum. Its description in RNAcentral is "partial 16S ribosomal RNA". It matches the Rfam family "Bacterial small subunit ribosomal RNA", at positions 74 to 825 of the family's 1533-position model. Lineage: Bacteria; Bacillati; Actinomycetota; Actinomycetes; Micrococcales; Microbacteriaceae. The record is from RNAcentral.